UACGUAGGGUGCAAGCGUUAAUCGGAAUUACUGGGCGUAAAGCGUGCGCAGGCGGUUUUGUAAGUCUGUCGUGAAAUCCCCGGGCUCAACCUGGGAAUUGCGAUGGAGACUGCAAGGCUAGAAUCUGGCAGAGGGGGGUAGAAUUCCACGUGUGAGCAGUGAAAUGCGUAGAGAUGUGGAGGAACACCGAUGGCGAGGGCAGCCCCCUGGGUCAAGAUUGACGCUCAUGCACGAAAGCGUGGGGAGCAAACAGG
This 254-nucleotide ribosomal RNA is filed under the name uncultured bacterium. Its description in RNAcentral is "partial 16S ribosomal RNA". It matches the Rfam family "Bacterial small subunit ribosomal RNA", at positions 524 to 776 of the family's 1533-position model. The record is from RNAcentral.